This 71-nucleotide transfer RNA is filed under the name Loxodonta africana (African savanna elephant). It matches the Rfam family "tRNA". Rfam says of the family: Transfer RNA (tRNA) molecules are approximately 80 nucleotides in length. Their secondary structure includes four short double-helical elements and three loops (D, anti-codon, and T loops). The record is from Rfam by way of RNAcentral. Lineage: Eukaryota; Metazoa; Chordata; Mammalia; Proboscidea; Elephantidae.
GCAGUGGUGGUUCAGUGGUAGAAUUCUCACCUUCCAUGUGGGAGACCUGGAUUCAGUUCUUGGCCAAUGCA